AUUGAACGCUGGCGGCAGGCCUAACACAUGCAAGUCGAGCGGAUGAAGGGAGCUUGCUCCUGGAUUCAGCGGCGGACGGGUGAGUAAUGCCUAGGAAUCUGCCUGGUAGUGGGGGAUAACGUCCGGAAACGGGCGCUAAUACCGCAUACGUCCUGAGGGAGAAAGUGGGGGAUCUUCGGACCUCACGCUAUCAGAUGAGCCUAGGUCGGAUUAGCUAGUUGGUGGGGUAAAGGCCUACCAAGGCGACGAUCCGUAACUGGUCUGAGAGGAUGAUCAGUCACACUAGAACGGAGACACGGUCCAGACUCCUACGGGAGGCAGCAGUGGGGAAUAUUGGACAAUGGGCGAAAGCCUGAUCCAGCCAUGCCGCGUGUGUGAAGAAGGUCUUCGGAUUGUAAAGCACGUUAAGUUGGGAGGAAGGGCAGUAAGUUAAUACCUUGCUGUUUUGACGUUACCAACAGAAUAAGCACCGGCUAACUUCGUG
This 484-nucleotide ribosomal RNA is filed under the name uncultured bacterium. RNAcentral describes it as "partial 16S ribosomal RNA". It matches the Rfam family "Bacterial small subunit ribosomal RNA", at positions 30 to 507 of the family's 1533-position model. The record is from RNAcentral.